This 447-nucleotide ribosomal RNA is filed under the name uncultured bacterium. RNAcentral's name for it is "bacterial SSU rRNA". It matches the Rfam family "Bacterial small subunit ribosomal RNA", at positions 355 to 825 of the family's 1533-position model. The record is from RNAcentral.
UCGGGAAUUUUGGGCAAUGGGGGAAACCCUGACCCAGCAACGCCGCGUGAAGGAUGAAGUAUUUCGGUAUGUAAACUUCGAAAGAAUAGGAAGAAUAAAUGACGGUACUAUUUAUAAGGUCCGGCUAACUACGUGCCAGCAGCCGCGGUAAUACGUAGGGACCAAGCGUUGUUCGGAUUUACUGGGCGUAAAGGGCGCGUAGGCGGCAUGACAAGUCACUUGUGAAAUCUCUGGGCUUAACCCAGAACGGCCAAGUGAUACUGUCGCGCUAGAGUGCAGAAGGGGCAAUCGGAAUUCUUGGUGUAGCGGUGAAAUGCGUAGAUAUCAAGAGGAACACCUGAGGUGGAGACGGGUUGCUGGGCUGACACUGACGCUGAGGCGCGAAAGCCAGGGGAGCAAACGGGAUUAGAUACCCCUGUAGUCCCUGAGCGGGCUGGCAAGGCGCAU